UGAGGAAUAUUGGUCAAUGGGCGAGAGCCUGAACCAGCCAAGCCGCGUGAGGGAAGAAGGCGCUCAGCGUCGUAAACCUCUUUAGCCGGGGGACAAAACCUCCUCGCGAAGGAGGCUUGAGAGUACCCGGAGAAUAAGCAUCGGCUAACUACGUGCCAGCAGCCGCGGUAAUACGUAGGUGGCAAGCGUUGUCCGGAAUUAUUGGGCGUAAAGCGCGCGCAGGCGGCUUCUUAAGUCCAUCUUAAAAGUGCGGGGCUUAACCCCGUGAUGGGAUGGAAACUGAGAGGCUGGAGUAUCGGAGAGGAAAGUGGAAUUCCUAGUGUAGCGGUGAAAUGCGUAGAGAUUAGGAAGAACACCGGUGGCGAAGGCGACUUUCUGGACGACAACUGACGCUGAGGCGCGAAAGCGUGGGGAGCAAACAGGAUUAGAUACCCUGGUAGU
RNAcentral lists this ribosomal RNA (441 nucleotides) under uncultured Dialister sp. RNAcentral's name for it is "bacterial SSU rRNA". It matches the Rfam family "Bacterial small subunit ribosomal RNA", at positions 355 to 794 of the family's 1533-position model. The record is from RNAcentral. Lineage: Bacteria; Bacillati; Bacillota; Negativicutes; Veillonellales; Veillonellaceae.